GAUAUACUAAAAGAAGACAGAUCAGUCUCUCUCCUGAUAAGAAGAGUCACCAAGAGGAACAUCUGCAACAACUAGAUGCUGCUACAAAGAGACCAAUCAACAGCUGCUCAGCAGAGAUACAGAUCUGAAGCACAGAAGUGCGAUAGACCUUCCUGAUGCCUUCGCCAGGAGCAUGGAAUUCUUCCCAGAGUCACAGAAGACGGCACAGCCUGGGGACAACUGGGAAUCACCUGGAGGAUGGCAG
This 244-nucleotide non-coding RNA is filed under the name Pongo abelii (Sumatran orangutan). Lineage: Eukaryota; Metazoa; Chordata; Mammalia; Primates; Hominidae. The record is from RNAcentral.